CCGUCGCACCUACCGAUUGAAUGUUUCGGUGAAGAUUCCGGACUGUGGCUCGCGUGCUUCACGGCGCUCUUGCCGUGGGAAGUUAUCUAAACCUCAACAUUUAGAGGAAGGUGAAGUCGUAACAAGGUUUCCGUAGGUGAACCUGCGGAAGGAUCAUUA
This 159-nucleotide ribosomal RNA is filed under the name Undaria pinnatifida. RNAcentral's name for it is "partial 18S ribosomal RNA". It matches the Rfam family "Eukaryotic small subunit ribosomal RNA", at positions 1673 to 1831 of the family's 1831-position model. Lineage: Eukaryota; Phaeophyceae; Laminariales; Alariaceae. The record is from RNAcentral. RNAcentral also lists the same sequence under 5 other names.